Molecule: non-coding RNA, 1349 nt
Organism: Megalopta genalis
Lineage: Eukaryota; Metazoa; Arthropoda; Insecta; Hymenoptera; Halictidae
Source: RefSeq, a predicted model, not a curated record
AGCCACUAAAACAGUCCUACGGCACUUCGAUCCGUUGUCAGAUCGCGUAGCGCGUGCCGAUCGAGCGGACUGCUGCUCGGUCAUCGAUCGUCGCUCGUAGAUCACGGAUCGACGGGCCGGGUACCGCGUGCCGAUCCUCGAUCAUUCGGGAACCGCGCGCGCGCGCGCGCCGAUGCCUAUCUCUGUGAAAAAAUACACCGGUUGAAAACCGCUGCUGCAGACAAGUGAAUUCAUCGGAUUGUCAGCAUUUUUGGUCUGUGCGAACGAAGCGUCCAGUGUCAAGGGUCGGGAAAAUAGUGGCGCGAUCUUCUAACAGAGAUCGAUCGCAUCUGGUGAAUAGGUGAUCACGGCGAAUUUGUUUCUCAGUGAUACCAUGCGUAAUCGUGAGCCAGCAUCGGCGUAAAGAAAAGUAAGCUGCGAUAGCGGUCGUGACGAGUGAAGUUAUUGUUUACGUAUCUGAAAGAGAGCGAGCGUUGGCGAGACGGUUCGCCAGCUGGCAAACAACUUUAUCUGCUGGUAAUUGUUAGAACGACAAGUAAUUAGUAUUAGCAGAUGUAGCGUACUGGGUUAAUCUUCCCGAAGACGUGCUAUCUAGCCGAACAGAGUCUGUUCAACAGACUCGGAUCCCCCGCCGCCAGCCGGAAAAAUCGGAUUUCACGCGGCCGGCCGCAACGAGUCACUUGGCACGCGGCAAUUACCGCAUCGCUAACGGUAAUUGUUCUCGGCCUGUCCGCGUGUUCAUUUGCAGUGUGUAAAAUAACAUGUACGCCACGAAUCGACGCACCGCGCCGGCCGUGCGCUUUCUAACGACCGCAGACUAUUAAUCCGUUUUUUUUUUAUUGCGAGUUCUUAUCGCAGUUCGACGGGAAUUAUCGGGCCAGCGGAUGAGGUUGUUGUGACGGCUCGAGCGAACGGACGUCGACGCGUUGCGCCGCGACCAAGGAAAUCAGUGUAAAUAACCGCGAAAUCUCGACCGAGCUAAGGUGUCGCCUCGACUUGAUGACAAAGGGCUCUUCAUGUACAAUAGGGACGGAAACACGCCGCUCCGAUGAUGGGCUUCCGAGAACGACGCCGCUAAAAAUCUUGAGAGCCGUGCGUAUCGCACUUUCAUAUCGGCCAGGACAAGUGGCACUGAAGAGCGUUCGCUACUAGGUAUUCUAAAUUCGAAAAGCUUCGGUCGGGAUAAGGAUCGAUCGUCGCAGUAAAUCGAUGAAGGCAUUCUAAAAAUCAGUGUGUUCUUUCCCGUGCUGCGACAGGACACCGAACGAAUGGUCGACGAAGUCGGCGCCGGAACGAGGUCGCCCGUGUUUCUCCGCGGUACGAAUAUGGGAAACAGUGUUACACCGACU